This 664-nucleotide long non-coding RNA is filed under the name Setaria viridis. RNAcentral's name for it is "long non-coding RNA (SVIR_LNC002082)". The record is from RNAcentral. Lineage: Eukaryota; Viridiplantae; Streptophyta; Magnoliopsida; Poales; Poaceae.
CGAAGAUUUUAGGAAAAUAUGAUAGAUAACUUAGGAAUUAAAAAAGGUGAAGUAUCAUAUCAUCCAGUUACAUCGAGAACUUCCGUAUUCUUGUGAUACCAUCUGGUAUGAAAUCUAUGAACUUUUCUCCUUGUGAUAGCUUAUCUACUUGUUUAAUUUCCCUUGUGCAGAAUUUCGGGAAGGAGAAGAAGAAAAGUGAUAUAGCACCAUGAAACAUGAAGUGGGAAUAAGUAGAUAAUUAUUUUAGAAAAAGUAAAGACCCGUUGCAACGUACGAGCACUUUUGCUAGUAAUAUAUAUACGCGGAAAGUACAACGACACACACAAAAAUCACCGUGGCCGGCCAGCUAGCUAGGCGUCACCGCCGGCAUGGCAACCGCCAUAUGAUUCGUCACGGCGACGAGAUCGGAGAGCGCCCUGAGGAGCUCGAUCCUCGCCCGGAGCCGCACGAUGUAGUCGGUGGUGCGGAGGAGCAGCCGGUCGGCCGGCACCGCGUUGCCGCCGGGCACCAGCCGCCGCAGCUCCCGGACCUUCCGGUCCAUCGUCUCCGCCGCGCGCCGCCGCCGCCGCCGGCGUCCUUGGCACGGCGAGCGCCGCCUCUCCUCCAUAUGCUGUAUCUGGCAACAGCUAGCUAGCGUGUGCCGGAUGAAAAUCGUACGUGCGCG